This 270-nucleotide ribosomal RNA is filed under the name uncultured archaeon. Its description in RNAcentral is "partial 16S ribosomal RNA". It matches the Rfam family "Archaeal small subunit ribosomal RNA", at positions 477 to 747 of the family's 1478-position model. The record is from RNAcentral.
CAGCCCCUCGAGUGGUGGGGAUGAUUAUUUGGCCUAAAGCGUCCGUAGCCGGCCGAGUAAGUCCCCCGUUAAAUCCAGCGUCUCAAGCGUUGGACUGCGGGAGAUACUACUUGGCUAGAGAGUGGGAGAGGUCAGCGGUAUUCUGGGGGUAGGGGCGAAAUCCUUUGAUCCCCGGAUGACCACCAGUGGCGAAGGCUGCUGACUAGAACACGUCUGACGGUCAGGGACGAAAGCUGGGGUAGCGAACCGGAUUAGAUACCCGAGUAGUCC